RNAcentral lists this long non-coding RNA (1677 nucleotides) under Homo sapiens (human). RNAcentral's name for it is "HSALNT0298903". Lineage: Eukaryota; Metazoa; Chordata; Mammalia; Primates; Hominidae. The record is from RNAcentral.
CAUGUCACCACAGUGGUGACCCUUCUCUCUGACUCAUUUCCCAUUAUGAGCACAAUUAGCGUGCAGCAUGUGUCCUGGGAGAUUAAUGAUCCGCUGGAGGGAAGAAAGAGGAACUUGGGGAAUGGAUCUGGGUGUAGUCAGAGCUCGCCUCUCCCUGGGAGCUGCCUUGGUGCUGUAAAGGAUCUCAUGUCUUUUGCCAGCUUUGAUGAAACUUGCUAGUUGGAAAGCAGAGUGAAAUCUCAGGCUCUACAACUCUUGACAUAAGUAUUUUAUUCAUUUUUGGUGUCUAUGUUCUUGAAGUACUUAAGAGAUUUGGGGCUAUGCAAGUAAUAGACCAACUUUGUGAUUCAUAUUAAAAUUAAGUGAUUUAAACGCAGGAUUUUUAAUUUGAAAUUAUUUAAGUUUAUAAACAGUAUGGGAACAUUUAGAAAGACCUGGAUUCAUUCUGUUUAUAAUUGUAAUCCAUUAAAUUUAUGAAAAUUACCUAAGAAAUCUGAAAAGGUUUGGUUUAGCCAUCAGGCAAUUGAAGUACCUAAACAAGGAAAUAAAAUAUAUUAAAUUUAUAAAUCUUACUUUAAAUGUUUGAAUGAGUUAAAUAACUCCGUUUGUAUUGGGACCAAACUCUUUAACUCUUUAAGACUGCCUUAAAUCAUUUUGUUAAAAAUCUUAGAUUGAUUUCCACUUCUAUGUAGAGAGUUAGAAAGUAUAUCACCUCUACCCUAACAACAAGAAUAUGACAAAUGAAAUACAAAAUGAUAAUGUUCCUUGAACUCAUCAGAGGACUGACAUCACAGGGCAACUAAGCAACUAGAAUUCCAAAGAAGGACAAGCCCCUCCAAAGACAGGAAGCAUGAGGGCAGGCUCAUCAGUGUCAGAGCAGGGGAGACCAGCACAGACACCUUACAAGCAGAAUGACCUUCUGUGGCUACAGAGAAAGGCUUCAGGCAAAGAGAUGCAGCUCUGGGCCCCAGAGUCCGCUGGAGCACACUGAAGCUGGAGCACACUGAAGUGGAAGAUGGGGCUGCAGACAGAGACUGGGCAGCCUCUGCUCCAGGGAGGCCCGAGAGCCAGAGAGCAGAUUCCAUAAGAAGAAUAACUCCCAUUCCUCAUGCAUGAGACCCUCUGCUAAAUGCUUCCUGUGCACCACCUCCAGAAAUCCUCCCAAGCCAGGACACCAGCAGUAUUACAGGAACUGGAUGACAAAAAGAAGAGCCGAUAUAACCAGGAACCUACUCUGGCCACCCCAAGUGCUCCGCAUCAAGACUCAGCUGCAGAGAUGACUUCAGUGCAAGUCACAUACACACCAUUGGGCUGGUACCCGUGGCAGCUCUGCAGGGCUUCCAUAUUGGUCAUGGAUUUGGAUGGUGAGAAGAGCUGAGACAGACGGCACAGGUUCUCAGGAUGCUUGAGGCAGGCUGAGCUCCACGAGCAGAGACCAGGCUGAUGCAUGCUCCACAUCUUGCAUGCUUUGCUUAAAGAAUGAGCGAAAGGAGUAAAUGAAAUUGGUUCUUUCAAAGCAACAAGAACAUUUGUGACAUAUCUGCUAAGGUGGUGAGGGACAAAGAUGAAGGACUGCAGAGCUGUCUCAUAGGCUCCUUUGAGCAAAGCAUUCCUCCUCCAGGUUGAUUGAGAAUCAUCCAGGGAGAUGGGGGAAAUUCUGCCUUCACAAAGUUUCAG